RNAcentral lists this long non-coding RNA (634 nucleotides) under Ananas comosus (pineapple). Its description in RNAcentral is "long non-coding RNA (ACOM_LNC030142)". Lineage: Eukaryota; Viridiplantae; Streptophyta; Magnoliopsida; Poales; Bromeliaceae. The record is from RNAcentral.
AAAGAAAAUGUUGGGCAUUUUUUGAAAUAGGUCCCUCAAAUGGUAGGACAUUUUUUGAAAUAGGUCCCUCAACUUUUUCUUCAUGGGUAAACUUCGUUCCGCCUCCCUCUGGUUUAGUGGUCUUUACUUUACCACCCUCUAUUUUAAAAAACUUACGCUUAAUUAUCAUUUUUAUUUUCAUUUUAUUUGUUUUCCGAUCGAUGAUCGGCACCGUUGAACAUGAUCUGUAUCUUUUAAAAUUUAAACAAUCUAGAAAUCAAAUUCACAACUUUUCAACAUCACUAAUUGAACGACCAAAGGGUCAUAAAAUUUGUAAAUUUUAAUGGCCGAUAAGAUGCGUUUGAUUAUUUAACGAUAUAGAAGAGUCCAAAUUAGCUGAAUUUUUAUUAGAAAAUUCUGUAAACUAUUUAAGGAUAUUCAGUUUCAGGUCUUCAUUUUACGUCAACUGAUGGACAAAGAAAAAUUAUCAAAAAAAUAUGAAAUUUGAUUUCUAAAUAGUUAACAAGGUCUAGAUCUUGUUCAACGAUACCAAUCAUCAAUUUGAAAAUUCUAUCAUUGAAAAUAAAUCAGUAGUAAACUAGGCUAUUUACCACCGAUAGUAUUGUAAUCUCUCUCUCUCUCUCUCUCUCUCUCU